UAUCUCUGUAGAGUCUGCAUAUCAAUAAGCGGAGGAAAAGAAACUAACAAGGAUUCCCCUAGUAACGGCGAGUGAAGCAGGAAGAGCUCAAAUUUGAAAUCUUAAAGGGUUUCCCUUUACGAAUUGUAGUUUAAAGAAGUGUUUUCUGUUGAGGUUUUGGUAAAAGUUCUUUGGAAUAGGACAUCAUAGAGGGUGAGAAUCCCGUAUUUGACCUUUACUUUCAACUUUGUGAUACACUUUCAAAGAGUCGGAUUGUUUGGGAAUGCAGUCCAAAAUGGGUGGUAAAUUUCAUCUAAAGCUAAAUAUUGGCGAGAGACCGAUAGCGAACAAGUACCGUGAGGGAAAGAUGAAAAGAACCUUGAAAAGAGAGUUAAACAGUACGUGAAAUUGUCAAAAGGGAAGCGUUUGACACCAGUGUUGUUUUUCUGAAAAUCAAUUAAAGAACUGUUUAUGCUAAGUUGUUUAGACUUUAUCAGCUAACUGUUUAGUUUUGAGCUUUUCUUUAAUGCACUUUUCAGUUAACAAGUCAACAUCAAUUUCUUUUGCUGUAAAAAAGCUUGAGGAAGGUGGCUUGAGAUUCGUCUUAAGUGUUUAUAGCCUCUUGCCUAUGCAGUCGGAGAGAUUGAGGUCUGCAGCGUAGAUCCUUCGGGGCUAAAUGCAUUUGUGCUAAGUUAUAGCAUUUUAUAGACAACUUGUUGACUAUGAUUUGUCUUGUAGCUUACUCGCUUAUGUUAUUUAUACCUACGCUUAGGAUGUUGACGAUCAGCUGAGCGCG
This 775-nucleotide ribosomal RNA is filed under the name uncultured Neocallimastigales. RNAcentral's name for it is "partial large subunit ribosomal RNA". It matches the Rfam family "Eukaryotic large subunit ribosomal RNA", at positions 24 to 633 of the family's 3401-position model. The record is from RNAcentral. Lineage: Eukaryota; Fungi; Neocallimastigomycota; Neocallimastigomycetes; Neocallimastigales.